UGCUAUCGGAUUGAUACUAAGCCAUGCGAGUCAUUGUAGUAAUACAAGGCAGACGGCUCAGCAACGCGUAGUCAACCUAACCUAUGGACGGGGAUAAUCUCGGGAAACUGAGCAUAAUACCCGAUAGAACAUUAUGCCUGGAAUGGUUUAUGUUCCAAAUGAUUUAUCGCCGUAGGAUGGGACUGCGGCCUAUCAGUUUGUUGGUGAGGUAAUGGCCCACCAAGACUAUUACAGGUACGGGCUCUGAGAGGAGUAGCCCGGAGAUGGGUACUGAGACACGGACCCAGGCCCUAUGGGGCGCAGCAGGCGAGAAAACUUUGCAAUGUGCGAAAGCACGACAAGGUUAAUCCGAGUGGUUUCUGCUAAAGGAACCUUUUGACAGUCCUAGAAACACUGUUGAAUAAGGGGUGGGCAAGUUCUGGUGUCAGCCGCCGCGGUAAAACCAGCACCUCAAGUGGUCAGGAUGAUUAUUGGGCCUAAAGCAUCCGUAGCCGGCUCUGUAAGUUUUCGGUUAAAUCUGUACGCUCAACGUACAGGCUGCCGGGAAUACUGCAGAGCUAGGGAGUGGGAGAGGUAGACGGUACUCGGUAGGAAGGGGUAAAAUCCUUUGAUCUAUUGAUGACCACCUGUGGCGAAGGCGGUCUACCAGAACACGUCCGACGGUGAGGGGAUGAAAGCUGGGGGAGCAAACCGGAUUAGAUACCCGGGGUAGUCCCAGCUGUAAACCAUGCAAACUCAGUGAUGCAUUGGCCUGUGGCCAAUGCAGUGCUGCAGGGAAGCCGUUAAGUUUGCCGCCUGGGAAGUACGUACGCAAGUAUGAAACUUAAAGGAAUU
This 834-nucleotide ribosomal RNA is filed under the name uncultured marine archaeon. Its description in RNAcentral is "bacterial SSU rRNA". It matches the Rfam family "Archaeal small subunit ribosomal RNA", at positions 28 to 866 of the family's 1478-position model. The record is from RNAcentral.